UAAGAGCGAAUGGUGGAUGCCUUGACUGGUAAAGGCGAUGAAGGACGUACUAGACUGCGAUAAGCUACGGGGAGCUGUCAAGAAGCUUUGAUCCGUAGAUUUCCGAAUGGGGCAACCCAAUGUAUAGAGAUAUACAUUACCUAUAUAGGAGCGAACGAGGGGAAUUGAAACAUCUUAGUACCCUCAGGAAAAGAAAUCAAUAGAGAUUGCGUCAGUAGCGGCGAGCGAAAGCGCAAGAGGGCAAACCCAGUGCUUGCACUGGGGGUUGUAGGACUGCAAUGUGCAAGAGGUGAGUUUAGCAGAACAUUCUGGAAAGUAUAGCCAUAGAGGGUGAUAGUCCCGUAUGCGAAAAACAAACCUUAGCUAGCAGUAUCCUGAGUAGGGCGGGACACGAGAAAUCCUGUCUGAAGCUGGGUCGACCACGAUCCAACCCUAAAUACUAAUACCAGAUCGAUAGUGCACAAGUACCGUGAGGGAAAGGUGAAAAGAACUGAGGUGAUCAGAGUGAAAUAGAACCUGAAACCAUUUGCUUACAAUCAUUCAGAGCCCUAUGUAGCAAUACAGGGUGAUGGACUGCCUUUUGCAUAAUGAGCCUGCGAGUUGUGGUGUCUGGCAAGGUUAAGCAAACGCGAAGCCGUAGCGAAAGCGAGUCUGAAUAGGGCGCUUAGUCAGAUGCUGCAGACCCGAAACGAAGUGAUCUAUCCAUGAGCAAGUUGAAGCUAGUGUAAGAACUAGUGGAGGACUGAACCCAUAGGCGUUGAAAAGCCCCGGGAUGACUUGUGGAUAGGGGUGAAAGGCCAAUCAAACUUCGUGAUAGCUGGUUCUCUCCGAAAUAUAUUUAGGUAUAGCGUUGUGUCGUAAUAUAAGGGGGUAGAGCACUGAAUGGGCUAGGGCAUACACCAAUGUACCAAACCCUAUCAAACUCCGAAUACCUUAUAUGUAAUCACAGCAGUCAGGCGGCGAGUGAUAAAAUCCGUCGUCAAGAGGGAAACAACCCAGACUACCAGCUAAGGUCCCUAAAUCUUACUUAAGUGGAAAACGAUGUGAAGUUACUUAAACAACCAGGAGGUUGGCUUAGAAGCAGCCAUCCUUUAAAGAAAGCGUAAUAGCUCACUGGUCUAGUGAUUUUGCGCGGAAAAUAUAACGGGGCUAAAGUAAGUACCGAAGCUGUAGACUUGCGCACAACUUAGAUUAUUUAAGUUUAGAAUAUGAGAAACUAAGUUAUAUGUUUAGUUAUAUUUUUACUGAUUUUUAUAGAGUAAAGAUAGAAAUAAAACUUAGUAAAAUCAGUAAAAAUAUUCUUAGACUAAAGUUAAGUAGUUUAAGUUGUGUGCAAGUGGUAGGAGAGCGUUCUAUUUGCGUCGAAGGUAUACCGGUAAGGAGUGCUGGAGCGAAUAGAAGUGAGCAUGCAGGCAUGAGUAGCGAUAAUUAAUGUGAGAAUCAUUAACGCCGUAAACCCAAGGUUUCCUACGCGAUGCUCGUCAUCGUAGGGUUAGUCGGGUCCUAAGUCGAGUCCGAAAGGGGUAGACGAUGGCAAAUUGGUUAAUAUUCCAAUACCAACAUUAGUGUGCGAUGGAAGGACGCUUAGGGCUAAGGGGGCUAGCGGAUGGAAGUGCUAGUCUAAGGUCGUAGGAGGUUAUACAGGCAAAUCCGUAUAACAAUACUCCGAGAACUGAAAGGCUUUUUGAAGUCUUCGGAUG
This 1700-nucleotide ribosomal RNA is filed under the name Campylobacter coli. RNAcentral describes it as "partial 23S ribosomal RNA". It matches the Rfam family "Bacterial large subunit ribosomal RNA", at positions 12 to 1599 of the family's 2925-position model. The record is from RNAcentral. Lineage: Bacteria; Pseudomonadati; Campylobacterota; Epsilonproteobacteria; Campylobacterales; Campylobacteraceae.